This 1411-nucleotide ribosomal RNA is filed under the name uncultured bacterium. RNAcentral's name for it is "partial 16S ribosomal RNA". It matches the Rfam family "Bacterial small subunit ribosomal RNA". The record is from RNAcentral.
CCCCCCAUGCCAAGUCCGAGGGGUAUCACGCUUUCGGGCGUGAGAGACCGGCGCACGGGUGCGUAACGCGUAUGCAAUCUACCUUUCACAGAGGGAUAGCCCAGAGAAAUUUGGAUUAAUACCUCAUAGUAUAGUACCUUGGCAUCAAGGAACUAUUAAAGUCACAACGGUGAAAGAUGAGCAUGCGUCCCAUUAGCUAGAUGGUAAGGUAACGGCUUACCAUGGCUACGAUGGGUAGGGGUCCUGAGAGGGAGAUCCCCCACACUGGUACUGAGACACGGACCAGACUCCUACGGGAGGCAGCAGUGAGGAAUAUUGGUCAAUGGGCGCAAGCCUGAACCAGCCAUGCCGCGUGCAGGAUGACGGUCCUAUGGAUUGUAAACUGCUUUUAUACAGGAAGAAACACUCGGACGUGUCCGAGCUUGACGGUACUGUAGGAAUAAGGAUCGGCUAACUCCGUGCCAGCAGCCGCGGUAAUACGGAGGAUCCAAGCGUUAUCCGGAAUCAUUGGGUUUAAAGGGUCCGUAGGCGGCUUAAUAAGUCAGUGGUGAAAGCCCUACGCUUAACGUAGGAACGGCCAUUGAUACUGUUAGGCUUGAAUUAUUAGGAAGUAACUAGAAUAUGUAGUGUAGCGGUGAAAUGCUUAGAGAUUACAUGGAAUACCAAUUGCGAAGGCAGGUUACUACUAAUGGAUUGACGCUGAUGGACGAAAGCGUGGGUAGCGAACAGGAUUAGAUACCCUGGUAGUCCACGCCGUAAACGAUGAUAACUAGCUGUUGGGGCUCUUUGAGCUCCAGUGGCGCAGCUAACGCAUUAAGUUAUCCGCCUGGGGAGUACGGCCGCAAGGUUAAAACUCAAAGGAAUUGACGGGGGCCUGCACAAGCGGUGGAGCAUGUGGUUUAAUUCGAAGCAACGCGCAGAACCUUACCAGCGUUUGACAUGCCUGGACGGUUUCCAGAGAUGGAUUCCUUCUCGCAAGAGACUAGGACACAGGUGCUGCAUGGCUGUCGUCAGCUCGUGUCGUGAGAUGUUGGGUUAAGUCCCGCAACGAGCGCAACCCUCGCCUUUAGUUACCAUCAUUUAGUUGGGGACUCUAAAGGAACCGCCGGUGAUAAGCCGGAGGAAGGUGGGGAUGACGUCAAGUCCUCAUGGCCCUUACACGCUGGGCUACACACGUGCUACAAUGGCGGUGACAAUGGGCUGCAAACCCGCGAGGGUGAGCUAAUCACAAAAAGCCGUCUCAGUUCGGAUUGUUCUCUGCAACUCGAGAGCAUGAAGGCGGAAUCGCUAGUAAUCGCGGAUCAGCAUGCCGCGGUGAAUACGUUCCCAGGCCUUGUACACACCGCCCGUCACACCAUGGGAGUUGGAUUGACCCGAAGGCAGUGGGCUAACCCGCAAGGGAGGCCAGCCG